UCUUUUAUAAUUAUAAGUUUUUUGGUAAUAUACUAUUAUAACAGAAAGUACAUGCAUGCAUGAUAACCAGCAAUUCCGUAUGCUGUGCAUUAUUUUUUUUUGGACAAUUGAAGCUUCUUUGUGCAUUACUUCACUGAGUAUAUAUUAAAUCAUUUGAGUCUCAGCCAAAAUUAUGCCUAUUGGGUUUUUGUUGCGAACAAAAUUAAAUGCAAUUCUUUAGGUGUUUUUGGUGCUAUUCCUCAAUCAGAAUUAGAGUUUCAUCUUGGUAUUACACAGAUUACCAAGAUGAAGCUGUAAUUCUGAUUGCAGAAAAACACACCUUAGGAAUUGCAUUUGCAUAUUAUAUUUGUCCUUUCAUUUUUGGUCUCAUUGUUUCAGUUAUGCAAACUUAAUCUUAUAAGGAACUCAUUGAGGAAUAUCGUGUGAUUUAAAUUGGAUUAUAUGGUUGCAGUUGACUGCAUUGACUGUGCUGCUGAUGCAUCGUUUGUUAGUGCUGUGAAUGAAGGAAUUGAAGCUGCUAAAGAUAUUGUAUGCCUUAGAAGGCCCUGGGUGAUGAUCAGUGUCAAUGAUGAUAAAGAUCUUCAUUUUCGUAAGGCCGAAUUUGAUCCAGAGGACUGUCCAGCAGACUGUUCACGACCUUGUGAAAAUGUGUGCCCUGCAAAUGCCAUAACAUUCCAAGGGAAAUCUACUUCAGGAAUUUCACAUAAUACUGAAGCACCUAGAGUACUGAAGGACGGAGUCAUAACAGAAAGCUGCUAUGGUUGUGGUCGCUGUCUUCCGGUUUGCCCCUACAAUAAAAUAAGAGAGGUAACAUAUGCAAGAGAUGCUAUUACAACUGCUGCUCUCAUCAAGAGAAAUUGUGUUGAUGCUAUGGAGAUACAUACAAGUGGGAGUGAUUCUUCUAUAGACAGCAAAGAACUCUGGAGUGCUCUAGGAGAUUCAGUAGUAUAUUUGAAGCUUAUAGCUUUGGAUGGUUGUCCAAUGAGUGGAGAUAUUUGGAGAGGAGCAACUAAGUAAUCUAUUGCCUUUGCUGUUCAAUUGUCUAAAGCAAAAGAAAGACCUCCUAGUUUGUAUUUCUAGCUCAAUUUAUGGUCCCUAAAAAACCUUCAAGAUUUACAUAUAUCCUAAUUCUGUUAAUGUUUAUGUCCCCUAAUAUGGUAGGUUUUCUUCACACAAUUGAUGGGCUGAAAAAAGAGGGACUCUUCCAAACAACUACUGAUUGUUGGUAGAGUAUUGGGAUCCAUGCAAUUGAGGAUCAUCCCGAGCAUCUCUUGAUGGCUCUUAAGGAAGCACUUGCAUUGUUGGGGCCUAUUAAAUGUCUAUGAUCGAUGACAACUUCACAAUCAACUUUGUGAUAGAUAGUUGUAUUUGAAAGUGUAAGCAUGUAAAGGAAGAAUGGAAACUUGUUAGUAACAUAGCAAUCAAGCUAAAUGUUACUUUUAAUCUAUUUUUUUUUAUUAACUUUUAAAAGUUUUAUUUUCAUUA
Molecule: RNA transcript, 1485 nt
Organism: Glycine soja
Lineage: Eukaryota; Viridiplantae; Streptophyta; Magnoliopsida; Fabales; Fabaceae
Exons: 7
Source: RefSeq, a predicted model, not a curated record